This 2509-nucleotide long non-coding RNA is filed under the name Brassica napus (rape). RNAcentral describes it as "long non-coding RNA (BNAP_LNC019257)". Lineage: Eukaryota; Viridiplantae; Streptophyta; Magnoliopsida; Brassicales; Brassicaceae. The record is from RNAcentral.
UUAAAGUCGGUUUAAAAAAAAACAUAUAUGGUUUCCUCAUUUUUGUAAUUUAAAGUCAUUUAAAAAAAAUUCAAAAUAUAACAUAUAAGAAAAAAUCUAAUUUUUGAGAAUUUUAUCUAAAGUAUACAACCUAUUGAUCGAAAAAUCUAAAACAAUACUCAUAUAUCAACAAAAAUUCUUGUUAUCCUAAUUUCUAAAUCAAAACCCCAAAUCCACACUAUUAUUAUUCACAAAAAUGAAAAAUUUCCAAAAAUAGAAUUUUUGAGAAUUUUAUCUAAAAUAUACAACUUAUUGAUCAAAACUUUUAAAAGAAAACUCAUCUAUCAACAAAAAUUCUUGUUAUCCUAAAUUCUAAAUCACAACCCCAAAUCUACAAUAUUUCGCUAUAAAAAUGAAAACUUUUCAAAAAUAAAAUUUUUGAGAAUUUUAUCUAAAAUAUACAACCUAUUGAUCAAAAAAUCUAAAAAAGUACUCAUCUAUCAACAAAAAAUAUUGUUAUCCUAAUUUCUAAAUCACAACCCCAAAUCUACAAUAUUUCGCUAUAAAAAUGAAAACUUUUCAAAAAUAAAAUUUUUGAGAAUUUUAUCUAAAAUAUACAACUUAUUGAUCAAAACUUUUAAAAGAAAACUCAUCUAUCAACAAAAAUUCUUGUUAUCCUAAAUUCUAAAUCACAACCCCAAAUCUACAAUAUUUCUCUAUAAAAAUGAAAACUUUGUAAAAAUAGAAUUUUUGAAAAUUUUAUCUAAAAUAUACAACCUAUUGAUCAAAAAAUCUAAAAAAGUACUCAUCUAUCAACAAAAAAUAUUGUUAUCCUAAUUUCUAAAUCACAACCCCAAAUCUACAAUAUUUGUAUAGAAAAUGAAAACUUUCCUAAAAUAGAACUUUUGGGAAUUAUAUUCCAAAAAUACAACAAUUGAUCAAAAAAUCUUAAAGAAUACUCAUCUAACAACAAACAAUUCUUGUUAUCCUAAUUUCUAAAUCAAAACCCCAAAUCCACACUAUUAUUCACAAAAAUGAAAACUUUCCAAAAAGAGAACUUUUGAGAAUUGUAUCUAAAAUAUACAACGUAUUGAUCAAAACUUUUAAAAGAAUACUCAUCUAUCAACAAAAAAUUCUAGUUAUCCUAAAUUCUAAACCACAACCCCAAAUCUACAAUAUUUCGCUAUAAAAAUGAAAACUUUCCAAAAAUAAAAUUUUCUAAAAUAUACAACCUAUUGAUCAAAAAAUCUAAAAAAGUACUCAUCUAUCAACAAAAAAUAUUGUUAUCCUAAUUUCUAAAUCACAACCCCAAAUCUACAAUAUUUGUAUAGAAAAUGAAAACUUUCCUAAAAUAAAACUUUUGAGAAUUAUAUUCAAAAAAUACAACAAUUGAUCAAAAAUCUAAAAGAAUACUCAUCUAACAACAAACAAUUCUUGUUAUCCUAAUUUCUAAAUCACAACCCCAAAUCUACAAUAUUUCUCUAUAAAAAUGAAAACUUUCCAAAAAUAAAACUUUUGAGAAUUUUAUCUAAAAUAUACAACGUAUUGAUCAAAACUUUUAAAAGAAUACUCAUCUAUCAACAAAAAUUAUUGUUAUCCUAAUUUCAAAAUCACAACUUCAAAUCUAUAACAUUUCUACAAAAAAAUGAAAACUUUCCUAAAAUAGAAUUUUUGAGAAUAAUAUCUUAAAAAUACAACUUAUUGAUCAAAAAUCCUUAAAGAAUACUUAUAUAUCAACAAAAAUUCUUGUUAUCCAAAAUUCUAAAUCACAACCCCAAAUCUACAAUAUUUCUCUAUAAAAUGAAAACUUUCCAAAAAUAGAAUUUUUGAGAAUUUUCUCUAAAAUAUACAACCUAUUGAUCAAAACUUUUAAAAGAAUACUCAUCUAUCAACAAAAAUUAUUGUUAUCCUAAUUUCAAAAUCACAACUUCAAAUCUAUAACAUUUCUACAAAAAAAUGAAAACUUUCCUAAAAUAGAAUUUUUGAGAAUAAUAUCUUAAAAAUACAACUUAUUGAUCAAAAAUCCUUAAAGAAUACUUAUAUAUCAACAAAAAUUCUUGUUAUCCAAAAUUCUAAAUCACAACCCCAAAUCUACAAUAUUUCUCUAUAAAAUGAAAACUUUCCAAAAAUAGAAUUUUUAAAUGUGAUAUUUUGCUUGUACUUUAAUAACUAAGUAUGUAUUACUACUUAUAAUUUUAUAUUUUAGUGUAAGAUUUUAUUAAUAAUAUUACUGUAAUAUUUUUAUAUAUGUGCUAAUCAUUUAUAAAACUUUAAUGGAUUUAUAUUAAUUAUGACAAAUAUAAGGAUCUUAGUGUAAAUCACAAAUAAUUUUCAAGUUAAAUUUGAAGUUUUGUUUUUAGAUAAGAACACCUUGAAACUUCAAAUAUAAAGUUUUACAAACUCUAAAAUAGAAAGUCUUUUUUAGAGCAUCUCUAAAAGCACUCUCUCUAUUUUGAAGUUUGCAAAAUUCUAUAUUUGAAGUUUCAAGAGUUCUUCUCAAAAACCAAAACUUCGAACUUAACUUCAAUUU